Molecule: long non-coding RNA, 1872 nt
Filed under: Heterocephalus glaber (naked mole-rat)
Lineage: Eukaryota; Metazoa; Chordata; Mammalia; Rodentia; Bathyergidae
Description: lncRNA (ENSHGLG00000033605.1)
Source: RNAcentral
GGAAGCUUCUGGUGAAAAAGGAAUAAUUAUAGAAAUUAUGUGCUAGAGACAGUGAUGGGUGAUUGGAUAUAAAGGUGUUAUAGUGAAGUGAUAAAGGUCCCAAAGGAGUUGGUGCUCAUGGGAAUUGGGGAUAUAAAAAGUCCCACUGGUUACCUGAAAUAUGGAGAAUAAAGUUUGCACCAAGGGUAAAAUAAGAUCCAGUGGUAAGUCAAUCCUGGAGGUCCAGCACAGCUGACAGGUGAGUGUGUGGGAACUCUUAAGAAUGGAGUGAGAUGUGAUCCCUUCACAGCAAGAUGCACAUCCAUUUAGGAAGUAAGGGGUCGGGGUUCUUGGAAGGUCUAGGUGGGCUGGUGAUGGAGAAAAACUGGAGGUUUCUGUGUGCUUUUGGACCCAAAUUAUGGGAACAUUUCAGAGUUUUCCAGCUCAUACAGUGAUAGAGCUCAGAAUUCAGGUGUUAGAAAGUCUAUGAAUCCUGAUAGAUUUUGUAAGAAACCUGAAUCCAUUGCAUAUAUGUGAGUGAGGCAUGGCUUUAAGAAAAGUUACAGUUCAUUCCUCACAUGGUUCCCAGCAUGUACAUGUAUAAAGCAUAUCUAUAAUGCAUUAAUUUCCAAUUGUGUGGGAAGGUUGGCUCAGAACUGUCCCAUACCCUUCCAUGGUGCCCUGGACACAGUUGGUCUUGCCUGACUCCCCAGUGUCAUAGGGUUGGUCCGAGUGAGCACUGCUGGUUGCUGGGAGAAGAGGUGUUACUUAUUUGGAGAUGUUGAUUCUAGUCUUGGCUCUGUUAUUUGACUGCACAGUAUCAGAGGAGCCCCCUGACCUCUCUGUGCCUUAGUUUCUUAUCUCAUGGAAGAUUGUUGCCUGACUAGGGACUACCUCAAGGGCUUUUUGUGAGGAUAGAUGAGAGUAGGAAAACUCAAGAGCCUUUAGUGCCAUGCUGACUACAUGCUACAAACAUCUAUAAAACUUUUUUUUAAAAUGUUGGUGCCUACAUCUUCACUCUCCUCCCAGCCCUGGCCAAUUAAACCACAAACUCAGGCAGCAGCAGUGUCUUGAGAUGCCUUGAAUUACUGCCUCGAGAGGAAGAAAGAAAUGCAUUAUUACCUUGGAAGAAUCCUAUAAGGCUUAAGGGUUUUAAAAGAAUUCUUUUUGGAAACAGGCAUUUCUUUAAGAACACCCAGAUGUUGACAUCUGUAUUCAUGGUACAAGCCAGUAUUGUCUAAGCAGGUUCUCUUGUUUGCUUCUCAUCACAGUGUUUGGAAACUCAGAUAUGCUUAACAUAUAGUUUAUGAAGUCUUGACAGCAAAUGUAAACAGACAUGGAUUUAUAAAUCUAAAUAUGUGUUAAAGUUGUAAUUAGUUAUGAGAGAAAAGCCCUUUCCCUCACACGUAACUCCUUCGUUAAUUAUAAACUGCAUUUUUCCAAGAACAUUUAAGUGCCUCAGUGUUUGUAUGAUGGGGCAGAGCAGGUGCCAGUUUAUGUCCCAGCUGACAUGAUGUUUUGCAAGCUCCCCAGGGUCAUGCCCAGGCACAUGGAACAUCUGGGAGUACUGGAAUUGGGAGUACUGGAAAUGUGCUGGGAUCCACAGAACCCACAGGGUCAGUAAAGCUACAAAGUGUUUUCAUGAACAGUUGCAGUUGUGUCGACAGGGGUGGAGCCAGUCGUGUUUCGGGGGUGGCAGAGGGUUUGCUACUAAGGAACACAAGAUGCCAUAGCAGAUCGCAUGUAGCAUGUGGGUGCUGUAGAGGAAAUUCAGCGAUGUACAUGACUCUGAUCCUGGACAUAGACUCUGUACCUAUGAAGAAAUUGUUUCUGAAAUAAGGCAAUUUUGUGAAUGUUUAAAAUGCUUGGAGCAUUAAAGUAAUGUUAUUUCAA